This 5757-nucleotide long non-coding RNA is filed under the name Sus scrofa (pig). RNAcentral describes it as "lncRNA (ENSSSCG00060058786.1)". Lineage: Eukaryota; Metazoa; Chordata; Mammalia; Artiodactyla; Suidae. The record is from RNAcentral.
AGGCAUAUGGAAGUUCCCAGGCUAGGGGUCUAAUCAGUGCUGUAGCCCCUGGCCUACACCAGAGCUGCAGCAACACCAGAUCCGAGACGCAUCUUCGACCUACACCACAGCUCACAGCACCGCUGGAUCCUUAAUGCACUGAGGGAGACCAGGGAUUGAACCCACAACCUCAUGGUUCCUAGUUAGAUUCAUUAACCACUGAGCCACGACAGGAACUCCUAUAUUGCCAUUUUUGAUAAGACAAAUUAUAUUCUAUACACAACCAAAAGACAACCCAGUUUAAAAAGGGCUUGAAUUAGUUAUCCAAAGAAGGUAUACAAAUGGCCAAAAAGUACAUGAAAAGAUGCUCAAUAUCAUUUGUCACUAAGAAAUGCAAAUCAAAAGCAAAUGAGAUAUCACUUCACACCCUCUAGGAUGGCUGUUAUUAAAAAAAAAAAAAAAGAGAAAGCAGGAAGUGUUGCUGUGGAAGUGUCUCCUUAGCCUUUGCGGUCCCUCAAAAAGUUAAACAUAGAAAUUACCAUUUGAGGAGUUCCCGUCGUGGCUGGCGCGGUGGAAACGAAUCCGACUAGGAGCCAUGAGGUUUCGAGUUCCAUCCCUGGCCUCGCUCAGUGGGUUAAAGAUCCGGUGUUGCCGUGAGCUGUGGUGUAGGUCGAAGACUCGGCUUGGAUCUGGCGUUGCUGUGGCUCUGGUGUAGGCCGGCAGCAAUAGCUCCGAUUAGACCCCUAGACUGGGAACCUCCAUUUGCUGCGGAUGGGGCCCUAAAAAAAGGACAAAAGACAAAAAGAAAAAAAAAAAAAUCAUUUGAUUCAGCAACUUCAUUCCCAGGUAUGUACCCCUCAAAAUUGAAAAUAGGGAUUCAAACAAACAUGUAUACAUGCAUAUUCAUAGCAGCACUAAUAACUAAAAGGAGGCAGCAAGAGUACCCACUGUGGCUCAGCUGGUUAAGAACCCAACUAGUGUCCAUGAGGAUGUGGGUUCAAUCCCUGGCCUUCCGCUCAGCAGGUUGAAGGAUCCAGCAUUGCUGUGAGCUGCAGGGUAGGUUGCAGAUGUGGCUCGGAUUCAGCGUUGCUGUGGUUGUACCACAGGCCAGCAAGCUGCAGCUCUGAUUCCACCACUAGCCUGGGAACCUCCAUAUGCUGUGGGUACAGUCCUAAAAAGCACAAUUAAUAAAUAAAUUUUAAAAAAGAAUGCAAAUUUCUUUUGUAACAAGGAUAAACAGUUUUCCAAAAGUGACUGCAGUGUUAAGUCAAUCCUUCCUUCCACCCUUCCACUUCUGGAAGUUCAUGCUGCAAUUCUAUGGACACAUAAGCAGUACUUACACAUGUUUUUGGUGCUUCCCAGCCCUUAGGUAGCUUAUAACUUUCUAUAUGAUGAGCAGUGAACAGGAGGAGCAUGACUGGAGAGAAAUCACAGCGAUGGCAGAAUGUGCUGACUGUCCCCAAUAUCCACAAGUAGAGCCAAGGCAGGAGUACCCAGCUUAAGAAAAGUGAGGGUUAGGGAGGAAGCCUCUCAGCCCAUUGUCACUGAAGAAGAAACACUUUUUUUGUACCUACUGUUAGCCUGGCACUGCUAGUUUUGAUGCUGCUUUUGGUCCUUGAGCAAGCCUCUGAACUUUUUUUUUUUUUUUUUUUUACUUCAUGCAGUGGCUUGAUGUGGGAUCUCAUUUCCCAGACCAGGGACUGAACCUGGGUGGCAGUGAUGAAAGCACCAAAUCCUAUCUCUAGACUACCAGGGAACUCCCAUCAACCUCUGAAUCUUGAUGGGCCUCUGCCCACUACUCUGUGAAAAACGCAUAAGCUGGACUGCGAAAGCCUGGAGCCUUUCACUUCUGACGCAUUAUGACCUUACACUCACUGGAGGCAGACUUUACUCUGAUGGCCCCCAAAGCAAUGGUAACUCUCGCUCCUCUUGUAAAGAGGCUGUCUGGUGGGCCACCUUCCCAGUCUGAGUGUGCUCAGCCCAUUCACUCUGCUCACCCCAGCCAGGCGAAGACCAGAUGGCAGAUCAAGACCUGAGCUUCCCUGGAAUGUAGGCUGGGGAGUGGGGAAGGGGCUGCCAUAUCCUUGCUCUGAAUAUCCAACUCUCUCACCCUCCGCCUGUACUUUUUUUUGCUUUAGGACUUUUUAUUUUCUUACCUGGUUAUGUUCAGAAGAUUUCAUAAGAUGGUCUCUAGUUGAAACCCACCAAACAAAAACAUAGUAAAACCUGUAAUUAGAAAUUCUAUGUAACUCUAAGGAAUUCAGUUUAAUUCCACUUUAAAGUCUGUUAAUACAAUGUUUGGGGUUUGCCCUUUAUUAUCUCCUGCAAGGUGAAGAGGUGGUCAGCUUUAUUCCAUGUAAGGCAGAUCCUCCGCAUCCAUUCCUUUUUUGCCAAUAACCCAUCAGCUCCUAAUGCCCAGAGUCCAGCCCCUGCAAUCCUCCACUGCAAUUUGUUUCCAACACUGUUGGCUGCAGCUCUGUAAACACUGACACGCAAUCUCUGCUAGAAAAAGCCCUCCCCAGAUAAGGCUACUGGACGGAGGAUGCCAAAACAGGAAGGAAGAGCCUCAUUUUCACACAAUGGAUUACUUUAAAUAUUAGCUAUUAAAGUAACUUUUUAGAGAAAUAACUUGUUCAGUGGUUUAAUCGUUAAGUCAACCCGUUUCUUUCGGUUCUGAUUCUACCUUCUUGUGUUUGGGUGGCCCUGAACAAAUGGUAGUAGCUCUGUAUUUUAAUUCCUCAUCUUUUAAAUGGAUAGGUAUUUCAUGGAGCCAAAGAAUAACCAGUAAAAAUCCUGAUUUACCAUAAAAAUGGUGAAGUUUCACAAUAAGUAUAGCCUUGGGGUAGGGGUCAUUAUCUGCCAAAUUCUUCAACGCAUUUAUCUGUUGACUAAAAGUCAUCCUACUUUGAGGUAUCCAAAGACCUACACAUCUAACAAAAAUGUACACAGAUGCUCACUGCAGUGUUAGGACUAGCAAGACAGGAGACGUGAAUGACCAGAUGUAUUAUGGGGCAUCACACUAUGAAAUCAUCACUUUUGUGUCUGAAUUGUGUGAUGAAAGAAAAAAAACAAAACCCUACAUUAUAAAAAUGUGUUAGGAAUCUCUCUAAUCCCUUUUCACUGAUUUUCUGGCCACUGUUGCCUUUGUCUCCAUACACUGGACCCUACCACUCCUCAUAUUGACAACUUAAGAGAUCUAUCAUAAUUCCUCGUGUUGCUCAAUCUGUUACUUUUCAGUGGGUGACCAAUAAAUCCGGCUACAUAGAAGGUCCAUGCCAAUGGACACACCUAAAGGCCUGAGUGAUUAGGCUGCCUCCUGGUAGAUGCCAUCUAUUUCACCCUCACUGGAAGAUGGGCUUUAUAUAUUGUGGACUGUGCCAAGUUAAGCUAUGCCUCUCAUUCCACAUAUGGUCUAUCAUUAAAUAGCAGCAUUCCUAGAACAGAGCCACAUUUUGCCUUAUUCCUCCAGGGAGCAACUUGGCUUAGACCCAGGGAACUUCCCAAGUUCCGGCAAGUGUUAGCACUGCUGCUCAUGUGUGCUGUUUGAAGGGGACAAGACAUGGACCGGCUCGCAUCUUUUGUUGCAUUGGUAUCCAAACCCGUUUCCUGGCUUCUCUGUCAUUUUAGAGGCAUUCCAAGAGUAAUUUUAAAAUGACAAACAUAAAAUAGGAAAAAAACUUUUAAAUAACUUUCUAAGCUAAUUUGAUUUGUGCACAUUUGUAGUGAUACCAUCACAUGCGCAGUGCCUGGCAGGUAGCUCUUUUGAGAAGUCCUUUCAGGCCUGCCCUACCAAGGAGACCUAGGUUUGAACUUUUGUCAGUUUCUAUGAUACCAAGCAAUGGAGUUGGCCAUACUUUCUAUCCAAAAUCUGAUUUGUUGAACAGCUUCUGGCACACAGGACACACACAGAUUUCCUUUUUCAGAUUUCACUCUAAGAAAAUUAAUGAAUACAGCAAAUAUCAACACCUGAUGGACGAUCAUGAGAACGAUUAAAAGCCAACCAGCCAGCAACAGCUCCCAACCUUUAGGAAACAAUUACUUUGGUUAAGUUUUAAUCAGUUUGUCAAUUUUACAUUAAUUUUUAAAUGCAGAAAAUUUAAUACUAAAACUUAAUCUUUUGAGGUUAAGAAAACCUUUAUACUUUAGUGCUGUAACUGUUUCUAAACAUUAAAAUAGUUCCUAUGCAUUAACCUUAAAAAAACAAAACUCCAGUUAUACCAAGGUUUUACACUACAUUAUCUAAAUCGCCUCCUACCUCCAUUUGAGUUUUGGACAUCCAAGUUUCAGGGUGUACUGUUGAAACACUGAACAGUUAGCAUGUUUUCAGACUGAAGAGAGUCCAUGUCUUCCUGUCAACAUCUGAAGCCAGUUAGUUGACCCAAAAAGACUUUGUUCCCAGUUUCAACAAUUCUAAAGUUCCUUGAGGCAGAAUUCAGUUUUAAAGGCAUCGCCUACGAGCUACAGACAAUGGUGACUCUAUAGCUACAGUAAACUCCCAUGUAAAUCAGAUAGCUACUUGUUCUUGACUAAAAAUGUAAUUUUGACACGACCUAAGCUUUUCUGUUGAGGUCCUCUCCUUUAGCUUAGAAAACCUAAGUUUAGAUUUAUAUCACUACCCCUGUUUUUUACUUACGUGUGCCUUCCUUUAGGAAACUAUCCUGUUUAACCCAGUAUUCUGAAAGUUAGUUCUUCCUCAUUUACAUAUACAGCAGUCUGAGAACACAUGGAAUGGUUCACAAAAUCCUUUGUCAGCCCACUUAUAAGGGUAAACUGAGUACUUUUAAGGGGCAAAACUUUGCCAAGCCCUUAUACUUAUUUAAAUGAUGUUGCUAAGAGGUAUUACUGAGAACAAGAUCAAAAUAUGUAUAUAACAAAAUCUUUAAGUGAAAGCCAUUUAACUAAUAUUUAAAACCUCUGCAAUUAUUAGUUUAUUAGUAUCAUCCAGGACUCAGAUGUUCAGUAUUCCUCCUGAAAUUACAUAAACAAAUGCAAAUGGAAAGAAUCCAAGUCAAAAUUAUAUAACAAAACAGCACUCCAUCACAAAAGCGUGUAAAAUUACAAGAACGCUAUUUUAAAACACUGGCACUUUAAGAGAACGAUAAUCUCGAAAACCACAAAAUUGCCAAAUUGUUCCCUACACUGUUAAGCAGAUAAACAUAUGACCCUAAUGAAUGAGCUUGACUUUUGUAAAGAAAAAUCAAAUUCAAAUAAAUCAGAUAAUUCAUACUGAGAUACAAAGUUUAAGUGUCUUCUUCCCUCAUGUCUAUUUUGGUUUAUACAGGGGCAAACCAUGAUAUAGGAAAAUAUACCUGGUUUAAAAUGUGGUAUACAGUUCUAAAAGUUGGCCCAAUUAAUUAAAAAUACCUUUAAUGGUGGGUCUCAAGUUUCCUCAACAAUCCAUAUUUAGAUAACAGGAGAAGACAUUUACAGCCAGCACUUUUUUUUUCCCCAGAGCUUUGCUGGGACUAAUGUCAACAAAAAAACAUAACACGGCCGUCUUGUAUUUUAAUCUCACGCUUUUGGGGAUACAUUCUCAGGUCUUUAACUUGGGAACUGCAAAUAUAACUGCCAUUACAUGGUAAUGGGAGUUAAAGAAUGUAGAGUCCUCAUGUAAAGAUUAGAACAUACUUUUCUAUUAGUCCUUCAAGGACAGACUUUCAAAAUGUUUGAUUCUAAUAAUCCCAUGCUGUGAGUAGAUACGUUACUCUUCACUUUGUAAAUGUAACUGGGCUAGGUGAAAUCUGAUUAUCAACCGAUCAAGAUUUGAGUUUCAGUUAU